Molecule: long non-coding RNA, 516 nt
Organism: Suricata suricatta (meerkat)
Lineage: Eukaryota; Metazoa; Chordata; Mammalia; Carnivora; Herpestidae
Exons: 3
Source: RefSeq, a predicted model, not a curated record
GGCAGGUCUUCGCCCUCGAGGGCUGCUCUUUCAUGUUACAUCGUCCGGAAGCCGCGCGAAUAUUGACAGCUGUUACUGUAGAAACCUAGAACGUGACGCAGGUAAAAGCUAAGACUCCAGUGUCAUUUCUGGACUUCAAUAAAAGUGCAGACUUCUUUUCAUGGGUACUUAUUGAGCAUCUACAAGUGAUCGCUGAAAUGAGCACACCUUUUCCGUCAGUACCACCAGUGCUAUAGCCCGGCGCAGGGGAGUCACUUGUAAGGGAGUGGCAUCCAUCAAUCAAACUUGCAUUCCCUUCCUGACUGGUUAAAAGGCACAAGAUCCUGUGAUCGGCUGUUCUCUGUCCUAAUGUCUUGUCCUGGAACCUGGCGGAUGCGAAGAAAGGGGAGGAGGCAUGCGUUGCCGCAGCCCUGUGAAUUGCACACGUGUGUUUUGAAAAGACGAUGAGUUAGAGGCACUCACAGCAAGCCGGGUCCUUUGAGAAGAGAGAAAACUUCAGCUCCCACCUGAUGAGGG